UACGUAGGGUGCAAGCGUUUAAUCGGAAUUACUGGGCGUAAAGCGUGCGCAGGCGGUCCGUUAAGACAGAUGUGAAAUCCCCGGGCUUAACCUGGGAACUGCAUUUGUGACUGGCGGACUCGAGUAUGGCAGAGGGGGGUAGAAUUCCACGUGUAGCAGUGAAAUGCGUAGAGAUGUGGAGGAAUACCGAUGGCGAAGGCAGCCCCCUGGGUCGAUACUGACGCUCAUGCACG
RNAcentral lists this ribosomal RNA (233 nucleotides) under uncultured bacterium. Its description in RNAcentral is "partial 16S ribosomal RNA". It matches the Rfam family "Bacterial small subunit ribosomal RNA", at positions 524 to 755 of the family's 1533-position model. The record is from RNAcentral.